GAUGAAGAACGUAGCGAAAUGCGAUAAGUAGUGUGAAUUGCAGAAUUCAGUGAAUCAUCGAAUCUUUGAACGCACAUUGCGCCCCUUGGUAUUCCAUGGGGCAUGCCUGUUCGAGCGUCAUUUGUACCCUCCAGCCCUGCUGGGUAUUGGGCGUUUUGUUCCGCUACGCGCGUGAACUCGCCUCAAAUGCAUUGGCAGCCCGCCGUCCCGUGUGGGAGCGCAGCACAUUUUGCGCUCUCCGCUGCUGACGGUGGCAUCAACAAGUCUACCAUUUUACGCUUGACCUCGGAUCAGGUAGGGAUACCCGCUGAACUUAAGCAUAUCAAUAAGCGGAGGA
This 337-nucleotide unclassified non-coding RNA is filed under the name soil metagenome. RNAcentral's name for it is "partial contains 5.8S ribosomal RNA, internal transcribed spacer 2, and large subunit ribosomal RNA". The stretch from base 1 to 120 matches the Rfam family "5.8S ribosomal RNA", at positions 35 to 154 of the family's 154-position model. The record is from RNAcentral.